Molecule: ribosomal RNA, 253 nt
Filed under: uncultured prokaryote
Description: partial 16S ribosomal RNA
Rfam family: Bacterial small subunit ribosomal RNA
Source: RNAcentral
ACGUAGAAUGCAAGCGUUGUCCGGAAUUAUUGGGCGUAAAGAGCGCGCAGGCGGUAACUCAAGUCAGAUGUGAAAUAUCCGGGCUUAACCCGGAGGGGUCAUUUGAAACUGAGUAACUAGAGUACAGCAGAGGAUAGCGGAAUUCCCGGUGUAGUGGUGAAAUGCGUAGAUAUCGGGAGGAACACCAGUGGCGAAGGCGGCUAUCUGGGCUGAAACUGACGCUGAGGCGCGAAGGCUAGGGGAGCAAACAGGA